Molecule: ribosomal RNA, 424 nt
Filed under: uncultured bacterium
Lineage: Bacteria
Description: partial 16S ribosomal RNA
Rfam family: Bacterial small subunit ribosomal RNA
Source: RNAcentral
AAUAUUGGACAAUUGGGGGAACCCUGAUCCAGCCAUCCCGCGUGUGUGAAUACGGUCCUCGGAUUGUAAAGCACUUUAAGUUGGGAGGAAGAGUUGUAGGCUAAUACCUUGCAAUUUUGACGUUACCAACAGAAUAACCACCGGCUAACUCCGUGCCAGCAGCCGCGGUAAUACGAAGGGUGAAAGCGUUAAUCGGAAUUACUGGGCGUAAAGCGGGCGUAGGUGGUUCGUUAAGUUGGAAGUGAAAGCCCCGGGCUUAACCUGGGAAUUGCUUUCAAAACUGACGAGCUAGAGUACGGUAGAGGGUAGUGGAAUUUCCUGUGUAGCGGUGAAAUGCGUAGAUAUAGGAAGGAACAUCAGUGGCGAAGGCGACUACCUGGACUGAUACUGACACUGAGGUGCGAAAGCGUGGGGAGCAAACAGG